RNAcentral lists this ribosomal RNA (301 nucleotides) under uncultured bacterium. RNAcentral describes it as "partial 16S ribosomal RNA". It matches the Rfam family "Bacterial small subunit ribosomal RNA", at positions 509 to 808 of the family's 1533-position model. The record is from RNAcentral.
CAGCCGCCGCGGGAAUACGUAGGUCCCGAGCGUUGUCCGGAUUUAUUGGGCGUAAAGGGAGCGCAGGCGGUUUAGUAAGUCUGAAGUUAAAGGCAUUGGCUCAACCAAUGUAUGCUUUGGAAACUGUUAGACUUGAGUGCAGGAGGGGAGAGUGGAAUUCCAUGUGUAGCGGUGAAAUGCGUAGAUGUAUGGAGGAACACCGGUGGCGAAAGCGGCUCUCUGGUCUGUCACUGACGCUGAGGCUCGAAAGCGUGGGUAGCGAACAGGAUUAGAUACCCGAGUAGUCCCUGUCUCUUAUACA